AACGAACGCUGGCGGCAGGCUUAACACAUGCAAGUCGAGCGCCUCGCAAGAGGAGCGGCAGACGGGUGAGUAACGCGUGGGAAUCUACCGUGCCCUACGGAAUAGCUCCGGGAAACUGGAAUUAAUACCGUAUACGCCCUUCGGGGGAAAGAUUUAUCGGGGUAUGAUGAGCCCGCGUUGGAUUAGCUAGUUGGUGGGGUAAAGGCCUACCAAGGCGACGAUCCAUAGCUGGUCUGAGAGGAUGAUCAGCCACAUUGGGACUGAGACACGGCCCAAACUCCUACGGGAGGCAGCAGUGGGGAAUAUUGGACAAUGGGCGCAAGCCUGAUCCAGCCAUGCCGCGUGAGUGAUGAAGGCCCUAGGGUUGUAAAGCUCUUUCACCGGUGAAGAUAAUGACGGUAACCGGAGAAGAAGCCCCGGCUAACUUCGUGCCAGCCGCCGCCGUAA
This 447-nucleotide ribosomal RNA is filed under the name uncultured bacterium. RNAcentral describes it as "partial 16S ribosomal RNA". It matches the Rfam family "Bacterial small subunit ribosomal RNA", at positions 29 to 523 of the family's 1533-position model. The record is from RNAcentral.